Molecule: long non-coding RNA, 1562 nt
Filed under: Anas platyrhynchos platyrhynchos (common mallard)
Lineage: Eukaryota; Metazoa; Chordata; Aves; Anseriformes; Anatidae
Description: lncRNA (ENSAPLG00000018452.1)
Source: RNAcentral
GGAAGUGUCUGAAACUGGCCCUUAACUAGCGUAGGUCAGUUUAUAGUUUCUUCUCACAAAGACCAUUCCUGCAGGCCCCUGUUACCAACCCCCUGCCACCUAAACUCAAUACAAGGCCACAGAAGUUACUGACCUUUGUAUAUCUGAGAAAAGGUCAUAUGCAUUCAAAUACCUAAGCACUAUUUAACACCACUGUACAUUACUCACGCACAACAAAACUUUUCUAAAUAACAGAUAAUGCAUUAGGAUAAUGCAUAAAAAUAUAUUAUCUUUUUGAUUCUAGUACUUUUUACAAAUUUUUCCUUUAGGUAUACUAGGAGGGAAUGAACAAAGAAAAGUUAAGAUUAAUACAAAUAGAAACAAUGUUGGUUCACUUAUGGGCAAAAACAGAGUUGUGGGGAGAGGAAAGAUAUAGGUUUUCAUCUUAUGAUAUAUCGUAAUAGGUAAGGUGCUGGGAAUACAUGUGCUUGAACUUUGGGAUUUUCCUCUUUUCCUAUGCCCCAAUGCUUUACCAACUCCUUUAAUAUUAUCUAACAUAUACAUUUUUUAAUAGUAGUGUCAAGGUCCCAAGUGUGCUAAUAGGUCUUAACUACUCUAAUUAAUCUCACUUGGGACCCUUAUCGGCACCCUGCCAGCAGUGGUGUUUCAGCUGUGGCUCAGGCCCUCACUCCUCUUUUGAGUUAGCUACAGUGGGAUAGUUUUGUUUGUGCUGGGGACAUGUGCAGUUCUUGGCUCACGUAUGCUUGUGGGGUGCUUUGCUCCUGCGGCCUGUGAGAUGCCGUUGGUUAAUGCAUGCAUUAUUGUUAUGAAAUGAAGCUAUGAAUGUAAAACCAGAAGAUUUGCAGGGACAAUAUAUUUUAAUGCAUAAAACCUCAAGCAUGAAACCAAAUCCACAGAGCUUUUUCAGGGAAAGAAGAGGAGAAAGGAUUUCAAUGCUGUUGCAGGGUGAAAAAAUAAUCCACAUCUGGAGCUUACUAGAAAGGGGCAUUGAAAUUUAUUUGGCAACUUGUAAAUAUAAUUUGUUCAGUACUGGAAAUGUGUGUGCCUUCCUUCUUCAGAAUCCUCAGUACAAGGGCACAACAUCUCAGACUUUGUGGAAAUAUAUUGUAUUUCUUGUAUUGAUGUGAAUAUGAAUUUUUUGUAGUUGUAGUUGUAGUUACUACACGUUACUACAUGUUACUACAGUUGUUGUAGUUACUAAACACAUAAAGUAUUAUAAAAUUGUCCUGUACAGGAAAAAACAAGAAGCUUUAAUUUGUCCAAAUUAAGACCAAGUGGUGAGAACACUAGUUAAGAUGCAUUUUCCCAGAAGAAUAGACUGUUUUAGGGACGCUUGUUAAAUGCUUUCUCCGGACACAGCAAUGCCAAUCAGAGUCAUGCUAGAAACACGGAUAUGGAUUUGGUCAAGAGGCUUCUGGAAAAGGAGACACAGACUGUAAUUUGGUUUGUCCAAAUACAUUGUACCCCCAUAUAUUUGGGACGCUUGUGUAUGAAUGUACACUGCACAACUGAUAUUUAUGCCUUGGAAUAAAGUGUGUCCUCUUCUGAAUCUGGUCUGCUAA